Non-coding RNA from Saimiri boliviensis boliviensis (Bolivian squirrel monkey), 1037 nucleotides. The record is from RefSeq and is a predicted model, not a curated record. NCBI's taxonomy places the organism in Eukaryota, Metazoa, Chordata, Mammalia, Primates, Cebidae.
GCGUGGUCUGUGGGACGCUGCGGCUUACCGGGACCGAGGAUUGACAGAAAACUCCCCUGGACGACGAGAAGCUAUCCCGGUUCACAGAUCGCUCAUGCUUGCAGGAUCUCUUGCUUUGAGGCUGGGAAAGCAGCCCCUUGGCCUUCAGCCGCUUCAGCCCAGCAGGCGGGGCUAUUGCCCUCACUGGAGCUCCUUGCUAAGGAGAAACUGCUGACCUUUAUACAGACAGCAGUCUCAGGUCAUGAAGUACGGAGCUGCAGUGGCAUUGGAAAAGAGGUGACCUUAAGGCGAGGUGCUCUGAGCCCGCUGUCCGCCUGCAUGAGGGCUGCUGGAGGGCGCCCGGCUGUGCAGCAGCACCAGCGCUGUGAAAACGUCCGCUGUUCAGCCAGUGCGGGGAGGACAUGUCUAAGAUGGCCGAGACAUCCCCUUCCUUGGAGGGGUGAGGAGAAAACCCGCUUGUCCAAGCUCCUGCGGUGGGCCUGGCGGCAGUCAGGGGCCCGCAGACACCGGGGACUUCACUGUCUCUAUGUGAGGCUGUGCCUCAGCGGUCAUGUUCCAUGGCUGCUGUAAAGUUCUGCUUCUGCAUCUGGUUCCUCUCUUUCUUCUAAGAUGAGAAUUAGUAACAGUAACAUAAAUUUUAACGUCCUUGAUAUUCUUGACAAAUAUGAAAAAAGUGCUGACGCGUUAGGUCUUCUCACCUGGCUUCUUGAAAAUCCUGGGUCCCAUCUCCAAGACACGUGACUCGUCUGACCCUAUCACAGACCACCAUUACUUCACCCUACCUACCUGCCCCCUGCUUGGUACUCAAUAAAAGUCAGCGUCCAGGCACUCAGGGCCGCUGCCGGACUCCGUCCUCUGUGUAGCAGUGGACCCCUGCGCCCAGACUCUCUUUUCUCUAUCUCUGUCCUGUAUCUUUGUUUUCAGUUUCUUGUCUCCACACCUGUAGACAGGGACUCACAGGACCCGGUAAGGCUGGACCCUAUAGUUACCAAUCUGUUACUUUUCUUUUUUUUCUUUUCUUGAGACAAAGUCUCUCU